RNAcentral lists this unclassified non-coding RNA (299 nucleotides) under plant metagenome. RNAcentral's name for it is "partial contains 5.8S ribosomal RNA, internal transcribed spacer 2, and large subunit ribosomal RNA". The stretch from base 1 to 105 matches the Rfam family "5.8S ribosomal RNA", at positions 50 to 154 of the family's 154-position model. The record is from RNAcentral.
GAAAUGCGAUAAGUAAUGUGAAUUGCAGAAUUCAGUGAAUCAUCGAAUCUUUGAACGCACAUUGCGCCCCCUGGUAUUCCGGGGGGCAUGCCUGUUCGAGCGUCAUUUCACCACUCAAGCCUCGCUUGGUAUUGGGCGACGCGGUCCGCCGCGCGCCUCAAAUCGACCGGCUGGGUCUUCCGUCCCCUCAGCGUUGUGGAAACUAUUCGCUAAAGGGUGCCGCGGGAGGUCACGCCUCAAAACAACCCCAUUUCUAAGGUUGACCUCGGAUCAGGUAGGGAUACCCGCUGAACUUAAGC